CCAUCAGCGGGAGGCGAUGACACGCGAUCCAUGCCGUGGUCGCCGGGACCGCGCCGAGCCAUUGGCGAGACCGACCCGCGUAUCG
This 85-nucleotide non-coding RNA is filed under the name unclassified sequences. RNAcentral's name for it is "c-di-GMP sequence". It matches the Rfam family "c-di-GMP-II-GAG riboswitch aptamer". The record is from Rfam by way of RNAcentral.